RNAcentral lists this ribosomal RNA (497 nucleotides) under uncultured bacterium. RNAcentral's name for it is "partial 16S ribosomal RNA". It matches the Rfam family "Bacterial small subunit ribosomal RNA", at positions 28 to 507 of the family's 1533-position model. The record is from RNAcentral.
GAUGAACGCUGGCGGCGUGCCUAAUACAUGCAAGUCGAGCGAACAGACGAGGAGCUUGCUCCUUUGACGUUAGCGGCGGACGGGUGAGUAACACGUGGAUAACCUACCUAUAAGACUGGGAUAACUUCGGGAAACCGGAGCUAAUACCGGAUAACAUGUUGAACCGCAUGGUUCAACAGUGAAAGACGGUCUUGCUGUCACUUAUAGAUGGAUCCGCGCCGCAUUAGCUAGUUGGUAAGGUAACGGCUUACCAAGGCAACGAUGCGUAGCCGACCUGAGAGGGUGAUCGGCCGCACUGGAACUGAGACACGGUCCAGACUCCUACGGGAGGCAGCAGUAGGGAAUCUUCCGCAAUGGGCGAAAGCCUGACGGAGCAACGCCGCGUGAGUGAAGAAGGUCUUCGGAUCGUAAAACUCUGUUAUUAGGGAAGAACAAAUGUGUAAGUAACUAUGCACGUCUUGACGGUACCUAAUCAGAAAGCCACGGCUAACUACGUG